RNAcentral lists this ribosomal RNA (433 nucleotides) under uncultured bacterium. Its description in RNAcentral is "partial 16S ribosomal RNA". It matches the Rfam family "Bacterial small subunit ribosomal RNA", at positions 29 to 507 of the family's 1533-position model. The record is from RNAcentral.
AACGAACGCUGGCGGCAUGCCUAACACAUGCAAGUCGAACGAGACCUUCGGGUCUAGUGGCGCACGGGUGCGUAACGCGUGGGAACCUGCCCUUAGGUUCGGAAUAACUCCCCGAAAGGGGUGCUAAUACCGGAUAAUGUCUUCGGACCAAAGAUUUAUCGCCUUUGGAUGGGCCCGCGUUGGAUUAGCUAGUUGGUAGGGUAAAAGCCUACCAAGGCGACGAUCCAUAGCUGGUCUGAGAGGAUGAUCAGCCACACUGGGACUGGGACACGGCCCAGACUCCUACGGGAGGGAGCCAGGGGGAAUAUUGGACAAUGGGCGAAAGCCUGAACCCGCAAAGCCCGGGGAAUGAUGAAGGCCUUGGGGUUGUAAAGCCCUUUUAACCGGGAAGAUAAUGACAGUACCGGGAGAAUAAGCCCCGGCUAACUCCGUG